This 320-nucleotide ribosomal RNA is filed under the name uncultured Lachnospiraceae bacterium. RNAcentral's name for it is "partial 16S ribosomal RNA". Lineage: Bacteria; Bacillati; Bacillota; Clostridia; Lachnospirales; Lachnospiraceae. The record is from RNAcentral.
GGAGUUUGGGCCGUGUCUCAGUCCCAAUGUGGCCGGUCAACCUCUCAGUUCGGCUACUGAUCGUCGCCUUGGUGGGCCGUUACCUCACCAACUAGCUAAUCAGACGCGGGUCCAUCUGCUAUCGGAUUGCUCCUUUCACAUCAGAGAGAUGCCUCUCCGAUGUCGUAUGCGGUAUUAGCAGUCAUUUCUAACUGUUGUCCCCCAAUACCAGGUAGGUUACCCACGCGUUACUCACCCGUCCGCCACUAAGUUUAAAAUCACUAGGUUUCAUCUAAACUCCGUUCGACUUGCAUGUGUUAUGCGCGCCGCCAGCGUUCAUC